AGCUCUGAGGUGUAAACAUAUUUGGUUGCAAACCAUAAGUAGUAGAUUAACGUCUGCCGGGGCUU
RNAcentral lists this transfer RNA (65 nucleotides) under Raddaella batesii. RNAcentral's name for it is "tRNA-Cys". The record is from RNAcentral. Lineage: Eukaryota; Metazoa; Chordata; Actinopteri; Cyprinodontiformes; Nothobranchiidae.